UUGGAGGGCAAGUCUGGUGCCAGCAGCCGCGGUAAUUCCAGCUCCAAUAGCGUAUAUUAAAGUUGUUGCAGUUAAAAAGCUCGUAGUUGAAUUUCGGAGCUUGUCGGUCGGUCGGGCUUCACUGUCCGCACUGGCCUGAUGGAUUCCUACCUUCUGAAUAACCAGCAUGCUAUUAAGUUAGUGCGUUGGGGAAGCAGAGCUAUUACCUUGAAAAAAUUAGAGUGCUUAAAGCAGGCUUAUGCUUGAAUAGAUUAGCAUGGAAUAAUAAAAUAGGACGGCAUGGUUCUAUCUUGUUGGUUUCUAGGAUCACCGUAAUGAUUAAUAGGGAUAGUUGGGGGCAUUAGUAUUCAAUUGUCAGAGGUGAAAUUCUUGGAUUUAUUGAAGACUAACUUCUGCGAAAGCAUUUGCCAAGGAUGUUUUCAUUAAUCAAGAACGAAAGUUAGGGGAUCGAAGACGAUCAGAUACCGUCGUAGUCUUAACCAUAAACUAUGCCGACUAGGGAUCGGACGAUGUUAAUUUUUUAAUGACUCGUUCGGCGCCUUACGGGAAAC
Molecule: ribosomal RNA, 551 nt
Filed under: uncultured Acaulospora
Lineage: Eukaryota; Fungi; Glomeromycota; Glomeromycetes; Diversisporales; Acaulosporaceae
Description: SSU rRNA
Rfam family: Eukaryotic small subunit ribosomal RNA
Source: RNAcentral